Miniopterus natalensis is the source of this 263-nucleotide long non-coding RNA. RefSeq lists it as uncharacterized. The record is from RefSeq and is a predicted model, not a curated record. NCBI's taxonomy places the organism in Eukaryota, Metazoa, Chordata, Mammalia, Chiroptera, Miniopteridae.
AGAAGAAUUCAAUCAGAAGAUGGGCUGGCUGAACAAAGAGGGGAGCUUCAUUCAGAGAAACCAGGCUCUGAUGGUACUGCAUCCUGAGUAUGCCGUUACAAGAAAAAGAGGGACAAGGUCUCUACCCUCAAUUGACUUUACAGGAAAUCUUGUCACGGAUUUUACAGUUUUUCCUUCUUCUCAAGGUGCCAUGGCUUUGUAGAACUUCAAUUCUUAAACGUAAUGUACCAUCACAGUAAUUAAAUUAACUUAGACGUUUGGUA